This 774-nucleotide ribosomal RNA is filed under the name uncultured Neocallimastigales. Its description in RNAcentral is "partial large subunit ribosomal RNA". It matches the Rfam family "Eukaryotic large subunit ribosomal RNA", at positions 26 to 628 of the family's 3401-position model. The record is from RNAcentral. Lineage: Eukaryota; Fungi; Neocallimastigomycota; Neocallimastigomycetes; Neocallimastigales.
CGUCUAUAUACGUAUAGCAUAUCAAUAAGCGGAGGAAAAGAAACUAACUAGGAUUCCCUCAGUAACGGCGAGUGAAGCGGGAAGAGCUCAAAUUUGAAAUCUUCAAGGUUCUACCUUGACGAAUUGUAGUUUAAAGAAGUGUUCUCUGUUGGAGUUUUGGUAAAAGUUCUUUGGAAUAGGACAUCAUAGAGGGUGAGAAUCCCGUAUUUGACCAUUAUUUCCAACUUUGUGAUACACUUUCAAAGAGUCGGAUUGUUUGGGAAUGCAGUCCAAAAUGGGUGGUAAAUUUCAUCUAAAGCUAAAUACUGGCGAGAGACCGAUAGCGAACAAGUACCGUGAGGGAAAGAUGAAAAGAACUUUGAAAAGAGAGUUAAACAGUACGUGAAAUUGUCAAAAGGGAAGCGUUUGACACCAGUGUUGUUUUCUCGAAAAUCAAUUAAAAAUGGCGGGAUUUUGUGUUGUAUUGACUUUAUCAGCUUUCUGCACUUUUUUCCUGUCUUUUUUAAUGCACUUUUCGUUUAACAAGUCAACAUCAAUUUCUUUUGUUGUAAAAGGGUCAUUGGAAGGUGGCUUUCUUUUCGGAGAAAGUGUUUAUAGCCUUUGACUUCUGCAAUCGGAGAGAUUGAGGUCUGCAGCGUAGAUCCUUCGGGGUUAGAUGCAUUUGUGCUAAGUUAUAGCCUUUCAUAGACAACUUGUUGACUAUGAUCAGUCAUGUAGCUUACUCGCUUAUGCUAUUUUACCUACGCUUAGGAUGUUGACGAUCAGCUGAGCGCG